AUUUAUAUAGUUUAAAAAAAACCUUACAUUUUCAUUGUAAAAUUAUAUUACUUAUUAUAAAUA
Molecule: transfer RNA, 63 nt
Filed under: Rhagonycha tibetana
Lineage: Eukaryota; Metazoa; Arthropoda; Insecta; Coleoptera; Cantharidae
Also listed under: 1 other name
Description: tRNA-Glu
Source: RNAcentral